Molecule: non-coding RNA, 749 nt
Organism: Coturnix japonica (Japanese quail)
Lineage: Eukaryota; Metazoa; Chordata; Aves; Galliformes; Phasianidae
Source: RefSeq, a predicted model, not a curated record
GCUUAAAGGUCACCUAGUCCAGCCCCCCUGCAAAGAGCAGAGACAUCCCACUGCAGUGAGCAGCUGCCCCUCCACAUGAAGUCAGCAACGUGUCCAUAGUGCCUUGGAAAGAAAGUUGUUAACUGGGGAAGGAGACACAAGAGGAUGCCUGUUUGGUUGCUCAAAAGGAGAUGUGGGAAGAGAUGCAGAAGGAUGCACAAAAAGGAGAUGCAUGAAGGAGAAAUGUGAAGACACACAUCUAGAGUAAUUAUGUGGAAGAGAUGUGGAAAGGAACAUUUUUAGCGGCACUAUUGGAGAUACAGUCAUGGAAAGUGGUGCUCCAGCUUGGAGGAGAUAUGGCUCUGAUAGAACUCUGGCUGUUUUGCCAACUCACACUGAGACAAGAACUCUUCUGAAGGACUAUGGUCCAUGGAUGAUCCACAGUAUGUCUGAAAGCAAUAACAAGUGAAGAGCAGGUGAGGAGGAAAGCAAUAAACAGGGAUUGGCACAAUGAAACCAUGACAUGCUGAUAUCUCAUGCAUUGCCCAUCACCACAGUGAAGGGAUUGGAGAAGAUGGAGCACAACAUGGUGCAAAUAAAACAAGAGGAGUACAGGAAAGGGGGGAGGAAAGUUGGAUUGAAGUUGAACCUGCAGAGCACAAAAGAGAGAUUUCCCUAAGCUUUAUAUAAUUGCCUAUGUCUUUGAUUUUCAACACCUGAAUCAGUAUGGAAAAGUUUAUUUUAAUUGGCAAUAAAUUAAAUUAAUUGAG